This 267-nucleotide long non-coding RNA is filed under the name Sinocyclocheilus anshuiensis. Its description in RNAcentral is "lncRNA (ENSSANG00000049368.1)". The record is from RNAcentral. Lineage: Eukaryota; Metazoa; Chordata; Actinopteri; Cypriniformes; Cyprinidae.
GAGCUCUGGAUGAGUUGGAUAUUUACCUACAAUUCAUUGUGGAAAACAAAACUUGCAAAUGUCUUCAAUCAUUUGUUAACGAACGAAGUAGCUCUUUAUUGCGGGUACAGCUUGUGAAUGACAGGAGCUUUAUACAGUGCAUCCAUUAUAAAGAUGAAUCACAUCUGUGUUCGAGUUGCACUGACCCGGAGAGACAUCUUUACGCCAGCAUCAUCUUUAUGGGCAUGCUGAGACAGCUCGGCGUCAGUCAGCAGAGCAUGUGGAGAG